GAUGAACGCUAGCUACAGGCUUAACACAUGCAAGUCGCGGGGCAGCAUGGGGGUUGCUUGCAACUCCCGAUGGCGACCGGCGCACGGGUGAGUAACGCGUAUCCAACCUGCCCUUCACCACGGGAUAACCCGGCGAAAGUCGGACUAAUACCGUAUGUUGUCCAUUGACGGCAUCCGAUUUGGACGAAAGGCUUUGCGGUGAAGGAUGGGGAUGCGUCCGAUUAGCCAGACGGCGGGGUAACGGCCCACCGUGGCUACGAUCGGUAGGGGUUCUGAGAGGAAGGUCCCCCACACUGGAACUGAGACACGGUCCAGACUCCUACGGGAGGCAGCAGUGAGGAAUAUUGGUCAAUGGGCGUAAGCCUGAACCAGCCAAGUAGCGUGCAGGAUGACGGCCCUAUGGGUUGUAAACUGCCUUUAUGCGGGGAUAAAGUGGCCCACGUGUGGGCUUUUGCAGGUACCGCAUGAAUAAGGACCGGCUAAUUCCGUG
RNAcentral lists this ribosomal RNA (490 nucleotides) under uncultured bacterium. RNAcentral describes it as "partial 16S ribosomal RNA". It matches the Rfam family "Bacterial small subunit ribosomal RNA", at positions 28 to 507 of the family's 1533-position model. The record is from RNAcentral.